Molecule: ribosomal RNA, 120 nt
Filed under: Pteropus alecto (black flying fox)
Lineage: Eukaryota; Metazoa; Chordata; Mammalia; Chiroptera; Pteropodidae
Source: RNAcentral
GUCUAUGACCACGCCACCCUGAACAUGCCCGAUCUCAUCUGAUCUCAGAAGCUAAACAGGGUUGGGCCUGGUUAGUACUUGGAUUGGGAGACCACCUAGGAAGACUGGGAGCUACAGGCA